GAGUUUGAUCCUGGCUCAGAUUGAACGCUGGCGGCAGGCCUAACACAUGCAAGUCGAACGGUAACGGAAAGCAGCUUGCUGCUUUGCUGACGAGUGGCGGACGGGUGAGUAAUGUCUGGGAAACUGCCUGAUGGAGGGGGAUAACUACUGGAAACGGUAGCUAAUACCGCAUAACGUCGCAAGACCAAAGAGGGGGACCUUCGGGCCUCUUGCCAUCGGAUGUGCCCAGAUGGGAUUAGCUUGUCGGUGGGGUAACGGCUCACCAAGGCGACGAUCUCUAGCUGGUCUGAGAGGAUGACCAGCCACACUGGAACUGAGACACGGUCCAGACUCCUACGGGAGGCAGCAGUGGGGAAUAUUGCACAAUGGGCGCAAGCCUGAUGCAGCCAUGCCGCGUGUAUGAAGAAGGCCUUCGGGUUGUAAAGUACUUUCAGCGGGGAGGAAGGGAGUAAAGUUAAUACCUUUGCUCAUUGACGUUACCCG
RNAcentral lists this ribosomal RNA (483 nucleotides) under uncultured bacterium. RNAcentral's name for it is "bacterial SSU rRNA". It matches the Rfam family "Bacterial small subunit ribosomal RNA", at positions 9 to 481 of the family's 1533-position model. The record is from RNAcentral.